GAUGAACGCUGGCGGCGUGCCUAAUACAUGCAAGUCGAGCGAACCGACGAGGAGCUUUCUCCUCUGACGUUAGCGGCUGACGGGUGAGUAACACGUGGAUAACCUACCUAUAAGUCUGGGGUAACUUCGGGAAACCGGAGCGAAUACCGGGUAAUAUAUUGAACCGCAUGGUUAAAUAGUGAAAGACUGUUGUGCUGUCACUUAUAGUGGGAUACGCGCCGCAUUAGCUAGUUUGUAAGGUAACGGCUUACCAAGGCAACGAUGCGUACGCGACAUGAGAGGGUGAACCGCCACACUAGAACUGAGACACGGUCGCGACUCCUACGGGAGGCAGCAGUAGGGAAUCCUCCGCAAUGGGCGAAAGCCUGACGGAGCACCGCGGGGUGAGUGAUGAAGGUCUUCGGCCCGGAAAACUCUGUAAUUAGGGAAGAAGAAAUGCGUAAGUAACAAUGAACGUCUUGACGGUACCUAAUCAGAAAGCCACGGCUAACUACGUG
RNAcentral lists this ribosomal RNA (497 nucleotides) under uncultured bacterium. RNAcentral's name for it is "partial 16S ribosomal RNA". It matches the Rfam family "Bacterial small subunit ribosomal RNA", at positions 28 to 507 of the family's 1533-position model. The record is from RNAcentral.